RNAcentral lists this ribosomal RNA (319 nucleotides) under uncultured eukaryote. RNAcentral's name for it is "partial 18S ribosomal RNA". It matches the Rfam family "Eukaryotic small subunit ribosomal RNA", at positions 1470 to 1796 of the family's 1831-position model. The record is from RNAcentral.
CCCUUAGAUGUUCUGGGCAGCACGCGCGCUACAAUGGUCUUCGCAAACGGAUGCAUUCUCGAAGGAGAAUGCCAAUCUUGGAAUCUAUGCCUUGGUCGGGACAGUUGCUUGCAAUUUUUCGACUCGAACCAGGAAUUCCUUGUAAUCGUGAUUCAUCACAUCACGAUGAAUACGUCCCUGCCUUUUGUACACACCGCCCAUCGCUCCUACCGAUCGAAGAGUUAGGUGAAUUGUUUUGAUCGAUAAGAUUUGACUAUGGUCAACUCUCGUUGUGAAAUUCUGUGAAUCUGACUGUUUAGAGGAAGGAAAAGUCGUAACA